This is a non-coding RNA of Bacteroidetes bacterium GWF2_49_14, 35 nucleotides long. The record is from Rfam. NCBI's taxonomy places the organism in Bacteria, Pseudomonadati, Bacteroidota.
CAGGUGGAUUCCGAAAAACCUUAAACGAGUAGGAA